Molecule: long non-coding RNA, 1817 nt
Filed under: Capra hircus (goat)
Lineage: Eukaryota; Metazoa; Chordata; Mammalia; Artiodactyla; Bovidae
Description: lncRNA (ENSCHIG00000004084.1)
Source: RNAcentral
GGAACCCCUGUCGCGUCUGAUUGUCUCUCGCUCGUCGCGGGGCUGGGUUGGCAGACAGCAGGCUCACCUCUCCUUGGGACCCCUCGGCUUUGGUGAGGGAAGUUCCACUGCCUCUCUCUGCGGAGCGCCCCCCGCAUUUGUCAGUUUUGGAAUCAAGACCCCAGGCGUCUUCUGGAAGAGAGAUGUGUGGAGACAGCAGUCUCCUCUCCCGUCCCCAGCUCUGCUGUAGGCUCAUCCCGAGUCUUCUUGGCGUCUCAGUUUCCCAUCCAGGCGACCUGAGGCUUUAUCUGAAAGGUCUGGAGCUGGGGCACCCUCCAAUCACAAUCACAACGGCCUUCCCAGGACUGCACAAUGCUGUGCUUCCAAGACGGUUAUCAGUUGAGAUCAUCUUGAUGAGACAGAUCAUCAGCUUACUUCUUGGUGAGAGAAACGCCUCAUUUUUAAAAGAUCCCAGGCUUCAUCCUCUAUCUCACCAUCCUGUCUCUGAGAACUGAUGCUCUGCCUGCAGUGACUGAGACUGAAAUGGGGCAUCUUCACUCUCACCUCUUCCCUGCAUCUGCCUCUGUGUGUGUGAAGUCGCUCAGUCAUGUCCGACUCUUUGCGACCCCGUGGACUAUAGCCCGCCAGGCUCCUCUGUCCAUGGGAUUCUCCAGGUAAGAUUACUGGACUGGGUUGCCAUUUCCUUCUCCAGGGGAUCUUCCCAACCCAGGGAUCGAACCUUGGUCUCCUGCAUUGCAGGCACACGCUUUAUCCUCUGAGCCACCAGGGAUCAGUCUCUUUAGGGAGAGAUGCCUGUUCAUACCUGCAGUGGGGCCCAAAGACAGAGGAGUUGCCAGCCUUCAGGAGCUCUGUUGAGGCCCUCAUUCAUGCGGACUACGGUACAGGCUACCCUAGCACCGGCCAGCCUGGUUGAACGUUCCCCACUCCACCCUGCCAGACAGAGGCCCAAGAGAGCAGGGGCUGGAGCUCAGAGGAGCUGGGAUGAAGCACCCAGCAGACACUCCUCACGUGGGUUGCUUCAAAGGUUGCCUUGAAGUCAGGGAGCUUGGUCACUGAAAGGAGACGGGAGAGAGCAUGUUGAGAGAGCUUAGGUUUUGAGGCCAGAUGGGGUUUGCUGGAGAAUGACUAUCCAGCUGAAUCCUGUGAAUCUGUGCAGGGAAGUUCCUACAGGUUGGCAAAGCAGCUUGGGGGUAUUCAAGGACAUCAUCCUCUUGACCUUGGGAGACCACUAGGGGCUGUGAGCAGGGCUUGGACUGAGGAAAUAUAGGCUGCCUCUUGAUGGUGGACCAUCUAAUUCCUUUUGGAUGUUGACCCCAAACAGAUACUGCAAUUCCAUCAGCAAUUGUGAGGGGGGCGCCCAGGCCAGACUCCCAAGAGUGUGCCUGGAACCAAGUGCAAUUCCUGUGCAACGAACCCAAUCCUGAAAUGGGACUCAGCUUCUCUAAGUCCAGUUGCCCUUGGACUCUGCUUGUUUCUUACUGGGAAAGAGUGCUUUCGGUGGCACCACCAACCUUGAGCUAGCUAUUUAAUUUCACUGAGCUGCAGGUUUCUUCUUGAAAGUGGGACUAAUGAUACCUCCUUGCAGGGUUAUGAGCGUAGUGAAGGGGUACAGUGCAAGGCCUGUAGUAAAUUUUCAAUUGGAUACCAGACCCUCACCUUACCUGACCCUUUCAAAUCAAGAUUAUUCAUUGUGUGACCUUAACUCAUUCAGCAAACCAUUCAAAAUGCCUCACUUCAAUAAAAAAAACAAAACAAAACAGGUGAUUGCCCGCCUGAGUAGUUGCAUUAGCCUGUUAUUCUGUCAUUUUUUCCCAAUA